Molecule: long non-coding RNA, 1242 nt
Organism: Cyprinus carpio carpio
Lineage: Eukaryota; Metazoa; Chordata; Actinopteri; Cypriniformes; Cyprinidae
Source: Ensembl
AAAACGGGAAGCAGAAUCAAUAAAUUCUUUCUAUCCUUAUUCAUUUAGCUUGUAUAGACCUCGCUCGGUAUAAAUGAACCAUCAUGGAUAUCCUAAAUGCUUUGCAUUAUGGGUUAAUUUCUUAUUAGACCAGUGGCUCCAGGAUCUUGGCUUAAGGAAUGGAAAGGACGGUGAGGAAUAGAGGGAGAAGUGAAAGAAAAGAAUGAAAAAAAAGAGUCUUGGAAGAAAAGAAAACAAACACGCAGGAUAAUAAACGAGAGAGGAGUUCUGUGUUUAAGUUGGACGGGAUGUCUAGCACAAACGGUGGGAAAGGAUGCUGGCUGCAGGUUUGUACUCGGAGGGAAGCUGAGCUGAGCAGGAGGAAAAACAGGACGGAAUAGAAAAAAAUAAGGAGGUGAAACAACUUAAUGUGAUUGUAAUCAAAGCAUCACUUUGUUUAGCAGCUUGGCAUUCUGUCGCUGAUGUGGCACCGCUUCGAAAAGCAUCAUUAAAGCCAUUAACUUUCAUAAUUUCCCCAAUUUUCUUUAUUUCAAAUAUAAACAGUCUCCAGUCAGCCAAGCGCUCUGAGACCUCCCGUUUCACAGGGAGCUAUCAGAUGAAUGCUGGGAUAUCUUAGGGGCUUUCUGGCUGAUCGGAACAUAUUCUAAAUGAUCCUGAAAAAGUCCUAAUGGCAAACACAGGUGGGAAAAGUAUUACAAGCCCAUCAGAGCUGCUACCAUUCUCACAAAGACAGCUAAUGCUAAGAAAAAACAUUCAAGGCAAUUAUGAUGAAGUGGGAGAGGAGUGUGUACUUUCUUUGUGAAAGCAAGUAGUUGAAUUGUACUGUUACAACUCCUAGAACGGUUAAUUAGACGGUAAGUGAACUAUGAAAGCAAAGCAGGCUAUUGCUCUAAUUCCAAAAUUGUUCUGCUAAUGAGCCUCGCAAAAACAACCAUCAGACUAUUUUUCAAUUACGUGAACCUGGUUGAGCUGUAGUUAAAAUCUGAACAAUGUCAUUUGUAUAGCGUGAUAUUUAUUUAUUAGACCAGGAAAGCUCCCCCAAGCAUUUCCUUUUUCAAAAAAAAAAACAAAAAAAAAAACACAAAAACAAAAGGUAUUGCAAGAUUACAUUGAUAAACACCUAGAAUUUAGCAUGUUUAACAGUUUAUAAUUAGCAGUACCACACAUAUAGUUAGAUAAAUCAGAAAUACUGUCAAAAUGUACAAGUAUUUCAGAUAUUUACUUUGAAAAUUUUUCACUGUC